GGCGCAGUGGCAGAGUGGUCUAAUGCGAUAGACUAGAAUGUUCGAUAGAUCUUCUAAAGACUAUAAUCUAUUCCCUUCGGGGGCAACGGUUCGAAUCCGUUCUGCGUCG
This is a transfer RNA of Pseudomassariella vexata, 109 nucleotides long. It matches the Rfam family "tRNA". Rfam says of the family: Transfer RNA (tRNA) molecules are approximately 80 nucleotides in length. Lineage: Eukaryota; Fungi; Ascomycota; Sordariomycetes; Amphisphaeriales; Pseudomassariaceae. The record is from Rfam.